RNAcentral lists this long non-coding RNA (2673 nucleotides) under Ananas comosus (pineapple). Its description in RNAcentral is "long non-coding RNA (ACOM_LNC038459)". The record is from RNAcentral. Lineage: Eukaryota; Viridiplantae; Streptophyta; Magnoliopsida; Poales; Bromeliaceae.
UUAUAGUUAAGGGUUAUAUGAGCAUUGCUUCCUUAUAGUUAAGGAAUGGAUUGAACUUGGAAUCCUUAUAGUUAAGGAUUGGAUAAUACUCGCCUUUAAGUCCUUGCUCGGAGGGCGGCAGCUCCCCCUCGAGCGAUGAGCUCCGCAGUGAUCAUCACUGGGUUGGUGCUGUUCCCCAGAGGUUGAGCCUGUCGGGUCGUAGGAGUCUCCCCGUUUGAUGAGCUCCGGAGUUGUCAUCACUGGGUCAUAGUAGUCUCCCCAAAGGACUGUCCCAUCGGGUCGUAGUAGUCUCCCCGAUAUUUGGGAUUAUGAGUUGGUGAGUUGGAAUCCAGCGAGAGGAAGCUGAGGACCCGACGGGUUAGCCAUGAGAUUGGGUAAUGAAAAUGAAAUCUUACAUUCCUCAUGAAUUGACUUAAGACCGAGUCGAGUGGCAUAGUUGGCUAAGGUAAAUGUAACCUUAGAAAGAAUGACAUUUGAGCCAAGUGUGGCUAAGAAUAAAGAGUAAAGAAUGGCAAGUGAUAAAGAAUUGUUAAUGUAACGUAUCGAAACCUCGAUAGCGAUUAUCGAACUUUAGCCAAAUUGAUUAAAGUGCCGAGAGAAAUGGAUGGACAAAGUCCGGUUGACAUUCCAACAAUGUUGGAAGGGUCAAAGUCGAGUCCCGAGAGUGUUAAGCAAGUUUUAGCAUUGCUCGGCGCGAUUUAAAAGUGAACAAUGUGAAAGAAAUAGAUGGGUAUGUUCCAUUAAGCGUUCCAACAAUGUUGGAAGGGUUAAAAAUGAGUUUAAGAGAGAUUAGAAAGGUUUUAGCAUCGACCGGCGCGAAGUAGAAUCGAAUCAGAGCUAAAACUGCAAUCUAGUGCAUGUGUACCGGUACAACCUGUCACGCCCCGAAACCGCCAAUUUGGUCAGUUUGGGCACGUACACAGACGCCGAACGGACAGCACCUCCCCUGUCCGCCCAAGUCUCAACCAUAAUUAUCAAACAUUUAUAGCGAAAGAAACAAUCCCAGGAUGACAUUUCAAUAUACAUGGCUUGCACGAGGACAAGCGACACAAGUGAAAGUAAACUAGCUAAAGCAUUCACACAUUGUAUCUUGAUUACUUUAAAUCAAAUACAAAGCUUACAUAAUUAUUACAUUCAUUCUUCCAAUUUAUACAUUGCCAUUUCUCAAAUGAAUAAUUUACAUUUACUUUUAUCAACUGUAAACAGAUGAAAUAUUCAAGGUACCACUAUACUCAAUGGAUGUCGCUAUCUAUAGCGCGCUGUCCCUGCCACGAUCCUCGACCACCCCGCAUGAACUAGAACCUGUAUGGUUAGUGGGGUGAGAACUACUGAAAGUUCUCAGUGGGUUCGGCUGCCGACCUCGCCGACUCACCCACUAGAUUUAUUCAGGCAUAUGUAGACAAGAAAAGAGAAUAGAUAGUAACCAGCUAUAACAUGUAACUACUACAAUGCCUGCACAAAACUAAAAGAAACAGUAGAUAACAUAUGAAAUUGAUGCAUGCAUGCUGCUAAUAAUCUUUACCCAAUCAAACUGGUUAACCAUUUGGUUAACAAUAACUCACCAACCAAAUCCCUCUAAAUCGGGGGACUCGAACCACCCGAGAGACUGUCUGCUGGACAAGUACGUUAGUCCUUAGGGAAGUAUGUUAGCCCAUCAUGUGACAACUCCGGAGUACACUGCUUGGGUGGAGCGACCAUCGCCAAGCUCAAAACAGACUAUGUGAGUAUAAUCCAAUCCUCACUGACAGGAUAUACUGACAAUGCCACACUUUAACUAGCUCUUUAUGCUAGAUUUACAUGUCCAAGUCUAGAUGCUAAUCAAUUCAUCUAGUUCUAAUGCCACACAUUUUACAAGCUCAUUGACUUUGUUUAACAUUCACAACACUGGGUGCCACUCAUGCAAUCUAUUCACAAUGUCACUUUGUCACUAUUUAAUAGUCCAAUACAAGUUCAUACAUCUAUAGGGUUCUAUGUUUACUAGUCACUGUUCACAAGUAAUUGUGCUGUCAAGUAUACAAUUAAACCACAUGUCAUAAUUAACCACAUAUCUAGCUCAACCCUAUAAUACAUGAAUAUCAACUAAAUAUAUACAAUCUAUGUAUGCUCAAGAAAAGUGACAUAAACAUAAUAGGUCAUUCGAUGACUUCGGAAAGCACCACCCACCUUUAAAUGAUGCCGGAAUGCGAGAAAUCCACUUUUCGCGAUUUAUGAACUAUCACGACCCUCGCUCGCGACAAACGAAGCUAAAAUGAGGUUUUCCACUCUAGUUUGCCGUAGGCUCGUCGGAACACUGAUCCGAGCUUUCCAACGCGUCAGAUUUACCCACUAUUAGUGUCACGCCCCGGGACCGGCAGAGGCCCUCCCGGUAGCGCGCCCAGACCCGCCAUAUGUCUACACAUAUAAGGCGUCUACAACAACAGCGGAAAUGAAACAAGAAAGCAGAAGAAUCUAGCGAUAUCGGAGCAUAGAAAAUAUCUAAGUUCUACACAGAAGAGUAGACAUAAAACUGAAAUCUACAAAUAAAGCCAAAGUGUAGUGCAAAGGAAACCCCAAAUACAAAGCUAAACAUCAAGAGUAUACAAGUGGUCUCUCUACACAUGGCUCACAAAAUCUCUCUCUCUCUCUCUCUCUCUCUCUCUCUCUCUCUAAUACAAAAGAAAGAGUAAACCACUU